AACGAACGCUGGCGGCAUGCCUAACACAUGCAAGUCGAACGAAACCUUCGGGUUUAGUGGCGCACGGGUGCGUAACGCGUGGGAACCUGCCUUUAGGUUCUGAAUAACUCCCCGAAAGGGGUGCUAAUACCGGAUAAUGACUUCGGAUCAAAGAUUCAUCGCCUUUGGAUGGGCCCGCGUUGGAUUAGCUAGUUGGUGGGGUAAAAGGCUACCAAGGCGACGAGCCGUAGCUGGUCUGAGAGGAUGAUCAGCCACACUGGGACUGAGACACGGCCCAGACUCCUACGGGAGGCAGCAGUGGGGAAUCUUGGGCAAUGGGCGAAAGCCUGAUCCAGCAAUGCCGCGUGAAUGAUGAAGGGCUUAGGAUUGUAAAGCUCUUUUACCGGGGAUGAUAAUGACGGUACCGGGAGAAGAAGCACCGGCUAACUCCGUG
RNAcentral lists this ribosomal RNA (433 nucleotides) under uncultured bacterium. RNAcentral describes it as "partial 16S ribosomal RNA". It matches the Rfam family "Bacterial small subunit ribosomal RNA", at positions 29 to 507 of the family's 1533-position model. The record is from RNAcentral.